AACGAACGCUGGCGGCAGGCCUAACACAUGCAAGUCGAGCGAGGACUUCGGUUCUAGCGGCGGACGGGUGAGUAACGCGUGGGAAUGUGCCCUUCUCUACGGCAUAGCCCUGGGAAACUGGGAGUAAUACCGUAUACGCCCUAUUGGGGAAAGAUUUAUCGGAGAAGGAUCAGCCCGCGUUGGAUUAGGUAGUUGGUGGGGUAAUGGCCUACCAAGCCGACGAUCCAUAGCUGGGUUGAGAGGAUGAUCAGCCACACUGGGACUGAGACACGGCCCAGACUCCUACGGGAGGCAGCAGUGGGGAAUCUUAGACAAUGGGGGCAACCCUGAUCUAGCCAGGCCGCGUGAGUGAUGAAGGCCUUAGGGUUGUAAAGCUCUUUCAGCUGGGAAGAUAAUGACGGUACCAGCAGAAGAAGCCCCGGCUAACUCCGUG
RNAcentral lists this ribosomal RNA (433 nucleotides) under uncultured bacterium. RNAcentral describes it as "partial 16S ribosomal RNA". It matches the Rfam family "Bacterial small subunit ribosomal RNA", at positions 29 to 507 of the family's 1533-position model. The record is from RNAcentral.